GAAAUGGAGAUGAAAGUUGAGAACUUUGAGGAUUUUGCUUAGGUUGAAGAGGUUUUUGUUAAGUUAAUAUUUUUGAAAGGGGUGAGUGAGAAAUUUUGCUUUACAGUUGGAUAAUCAUUUGACGAUUAGUACAAUGUUAUAAAUGGUUCUUGAUGGAACAGUAUAAAUAGAAUAGUACUUACUGGUAGUAGAAUAACGAGUCUUGAAUUUUUGUAUAUUACUUGUACUAUUUUAAUGAUGUAAGUUUGAGUUGAAGUUUGAGGGAUGAUAAAAAGGCAAAAGGGAAUUAGUGAAAGUCUUUUUCCCUGGUGAAAUACCAUGGCGAGUAUAAGUGAAAAUUUGAUUACAGUGGUGCCUAAAAAGUCGUUGAAAUUCAAAGUUCUAGCUGUAGUUACAGUGAGGAACAAGAACAAGGAAUAUCUGAAGGAGAAAAUUGUGAAACAUUUAGAUGCUUUCACCAAUAAAAAUGGAAGAAAUGUCGCCUUGAAACUCAUCAAAACUGACAUCGACCCAAGUAAGUCACUCUUUUGAUCGAUGAUCCAAUUGUUAUCAAAAUAAUUUCAUUGGCUUCUUCUUUUCGCCUGUCUGGGAGCUACUGUAUAUCUUUGCUUAGUUGUUUUGACCUAAUAAAUAUUUUGUAUUUCGUAUGAACGUUUUUGGUGUUUGACAGGAUGUAGAGUAUUACAACAAAUUAGAAGAUCCAUCUAAUGAUGAAAAUGAUACGUUAGAUCCAAUCAAUAAAAGAAAAUGAAUAGUAUGGAAAUUUGAACGCUCGGUAGGCAUACCCUCUUGUGAUACCAAAGUGCAUUUCAUUUCCAAAAAGUGUUCAGCUGUAGUUUAGCCAACAGAAAGGGACAACUAUGAAAUAUGCUUUCAGAGACCGCCUUAGCUAUGUGGGAUUUUUAUUGAACACAGUUUGAUUUCGUUCUCACUAUGUAUUUUUUUUUUCCUGAGAUUUCCAUUUUCAUAAUGUGCUUGAUAGUUGAUACACAAAUAUGUUCAAGCAGACCCUAUUUGGGCCACUGAAGUAGUCAUUCAUCGAAGUUUUCAAUUUUGCUCUAAUUUUGAUCAUUUAGCUGUGUGGGAAGCCAAAUUGUUUGCGAAUUAUGCCUUCGAUUAUUGUAACUGUUUGGUUAUUAUUUUCAGGUUCGACACUCCGGUUGGAUAAAGUUGUCAUGGUUGUGCGAAGUGAAGUUAGCCGUGUGAAGCCUCAUUGUUUGCCGAUUAGUCGACUAUUGGGAACUUGAUAUAUGAGAGCUUGAGGAGGGAAGCAACUUCUCUUAGAAUCCAGACAAAUGUGCGUAUGAUAUUGCUUGGAAGGCUUACAAAGAGUUGUGGUCCUCUGUUGUUUCAAUUCAGACAUGAUUGCGUGGGAUGGCUGCUUGCAAUUAGUUUUGAUUCAGAAGGCAGACAAAAGCAGCAAUUAUUAUUUAGGUUUAUGGUUGGACAAUAAAUGCUUGAACCAACACUUUGGGUUAAAUUAGGUACUGAGGUGGAUACAAGUAGUGUCGUAUGAAUCGAUAGAGAAACUUUUCAUCAUACAUACUUGGGUUUGUAAAUCAGUACGUGACAUUUGAAAUUUCAUGAAUUUUCAAAGUGAUAUUCUUUGUAUCAA
This is an RNA transcript of Capsicum annuum, 1615 nucleotides long. It is a transcript of the gene named linoleate 13S-lipoxygenase 3-1, chloroplastic-like, with no coding region annotated. The transcript has 4 exons. The record is from RefSeq and is a predicted model, not a curated record. Lineage: Eukaryota; Viridiplantae; Streptophyta; Magnoliopsida; Solanales; Solanaceae.